RNAcentral lists this ribosomal RNA (214 nucleotides) under uncultured bacterium. RNAcentral's name for it is "partial 16S ribosomal RNA". It matches the Rfam family "Bacterial small subunit ribosomal RNA", at positions 584 to 793 of the family's 1533-position model. The record is from RNAcentral.
UAAGUUUGAUGUCAAAUAUGAUGGCUCAACCAUCAAGAGGCGUUGAAAACUGUUUAUCUAGAAUCUCGGAGAGGUAAGUGGAAAUUCCAUGUGUAGCGGUGGAAUGCGUAGAUAUAUGGAGGAACACCAAUGGCGAAGGCAGCUUACUGGACGAAGAUUGACGCUGACGGUGCGAAAGCGUGGGUAGCCAAACAGGAUUAGAUACCCCUGGUAG